Molecule: ribosomal RNA, 504 nt
Filed under: Colletotrichum graminicola
Lineage: Eukaryota; Fungi; Ascomycota; Sordariomycetes; Glomerellales; Glomerellaceae
Description: eukaryotic LSU rRNA
Rfam family: Eukaryotic large subunit ribosomal RNA
Source: RNAcentral
GCCCCAGUAACGGCGAGUGAAGCGGCAACAGCUCAAAUUUGAAAUCUGGCCCCAGGCCCGAGUUGUAAUUUGCAGAGGAUGCUUUUGGCGCGGUGCCUUCCGAGUUCCCUGGAACGGGACGCCAUAGAGGGUGAGAGCCCCGUACGGUUGGACACCAAGCCUUUGUAAAGCUCCUUCGACGAGUCGAGUAGUUUGGGAAUGCUGCUCAAAAUGGGAGGUAUAUUUCUUCUAAAGCUAAAUAUUGGCCAGAGACCGAUAGCGCACAAGUAGAGUGAUCGAAAGAUGAAAAGCACUUUGAAAAGAGGGUUAAACAGCACGUGAAAUUGUUAAAAGGGAAGCGCUUGUGACCAGACUUGCGCCCGGUGAAUCACCCAGCUCUCGCGGCUGGGGCACUUCGCCGGCACAGGCCAGCAUCAGCUCGCUGUCGGGGACAAAAGCUUCGGGAACGUAGCUCUCUUCGGGGAGUGUUAUAGCCCGUUGCAUAAUACCCUUCGGUGGGCUGAG